GAUGAAGAGCGUAGCGAAAUGCGAUAAGUAAUGCGAAUUGCAGAAUUUCCGUGAGUCAUCGAAUCUUUGAACGCACAUUGCGCCCCUUGGUAUCCCGAGGGGCAUGCCUGUUCGAGCGUCAUUUCACCACUCAAGCCUGGCUUGGUGUUGGGCGACGUCCCCUUUGGGGACGCGCCUCGAAACGCUCGGCGGCGUGGCACCGGCUUUAAGCGUAGCAGAAUCUUUCGCUUUGGAAGUCGGGGCCCCGUCUGCCGGAAGACCUACUCGCAAGGUUGACCUCGGAUCAGGCAGGGAUACCCGCUGAACUUAAGCAUAUCAAUAAGCGGAGGA
Molecule: unclassified non-coding RNA, 330 nt
Filed under: soil metagenome
Description: partial contains 5.8S ribosomal RNA, internal transcribed spacer 2, and large subunit ribosomal RNA
Rfam family: 5.8S ribosomal RNA (bases 1-121)
Source: RNAcentral